GAGUUUGAUCAUGGCUCAGAUUGAACGCUGGCGGCAUGCCUUACACAUGCAAGUCGAACGGCAGCACGGGAGCUUGCUCCUGGGUGGCGAGUGGCGAACGGGUGAGUAAUGCAUCGGAACGUAUCCUGGAGUGGGGGAUAACGUAGCGAAAGUUACGCUAAUACCGCAUAUUCUGUGAGCAGGAAAGCGGGGGACCUUCGGGCCUCGCGCUCUUGGAGCGGCCGAUGUCGGAUUAGCUAGUUGGUGAGGUAAAGGCUCACCAAGGCGACGAUCCGUAGCAGGUCUGAGAGGAUGAUCUGCCACGCUGGAACUGAGACACGGUCCAGACUCCUACGGAGGCAGCAGUGGGGAAUUUUGGAC
Molecule: ribosomal RNA, 360 nt
Filed under: bacterium enrichment culture clone ALO1_GLFRUDD03HJTMW
Lineage: Bacteria
Description: bacterial SSU rRNA
Rfam family: Bacterial small subunit ribosomal RNA
Source: RNAcentral